Octopus sinensis (East Asian common octopus) is the source of this 1580-nucleotide RNA transcript. It is a transcript of the gene named histone-lysine N-methyltransferase SETMAR-like, with no coding region annotated. Lineage: Eukaryota; Metazoa; Mollusca; Cephalopoda; Octopoda; Octopodidae. The transcript is spliced from 2 exons. The record is from RefSeq and is a predicted model, not a curated record.
CAUUUUUACAAGUUGAGUCUUGUAAUUGCAGACACCGCCAUAGAAGACAGCGAUUCAGGAUUCGGGUCAUCGGUAAAGAAGUAAAUGGCCGAGACUUGGGAUAAAUUCCUUUUUAAAAUAUUUCCUAAAUAAAUUCAAGAAAAUCUAUCUGUAUUAAAUAAUUAAGCUGUAAAAAAAUAUAAGUGAAACAAAGUUUCUUUAAUUUCUUUGCAAUAAAUAUUGACUGCUUGACAGUAGCAGCCGAGAUAAAGUUGCCGCGCCUCGGCCAUUGUGGUUAACUUUAAGAAGCGUGGAUUUUUCUAAAAGAAAACCCAUGAAAUACUGACUGGUAUAAUGGAAGUGACAAAGAAGCAUAUUCGUCAUAUUUUGCUUUAUGAGUUCAAUAACGGCCACAACGCGACGGAAACUGCGAGGAAUAUCAAUGCAAUCUAUGGGGAUCGGACAUUGAGCGUGAGCCAGUGCCAACGGUGGUUCCAGAGAUUCCGGACCGGAAACUACAGCCUGGAAGACGAUAUUCGUCCUGGCAGGUCCGUAAAGCUCGACGACGAAGCCCUGCAAGCCCUGGUGGAAGAAAACCCUCACCUAUCUGUUCAGAAACUGGCAGAGAAGCUAGGAUUUGGUCAUUCAACCAUUCAUCGACACCUGCGUGCCAUCGGGAAAGUCAACAAAUUGGGUCAAUGGGUCUAAAAAAACCCGCAUUAUUUAUGGGAUGACCCAAUACAAUAUAUUAUAUAUGGUUAUAUUUGAUUAUUGAAUACUAUAUUGUGCACACACACACACACACAUGCAUAUAUAUAUAUAUAUAUAUGUAUAUGUAUAUACACACACAUAAUCUAUUGUAUGGCAGUGUUUCAGCAUUAGUUACAUGACGUCAGUGAUGAGUGUGUGUGAGUUUAUUCAGGUGAAAGACUGUCUUGGAAAUAUAAAGAAAAAAAACUUUGUUAUAAAUCAUUUAGACUUCAUAUUUAGUACCAUUUAAUGAGUCUGAAAUAAUAUUUUUACUAAAAAAAAUAUUAAAAAAUCUUGUAUUUACUGAAGCAGCUUUUGUUGCAAUUGAGAAAUAUUGUUUUAUGAAUUUCUCUCUCCAUAACAUUUAACUGAAAUCCGUUUAAAAAUCAUUCAGUUGCUGCCAGGACCAUUCCCAAUGUAAUAUCAUUCCUUUGUGACACUGAUAAUAAUAAUAAUAAAAGACUUGAAAGUGAUUGCUUAUUCCGACAGUUACUUUAUUACCAUUUACCAAUCCAACAUAUUAAAAAUCCUAACGAUUUCACAACUGACAACAUUAAACAUGGCUGCCCUCAUGACGAUGAUGAUGAUGAUGAUAUUUACGUUUUGUUUUUAAUUACAACUCACGAUUUUAGUCUUUAAUUAAUGUUGGAUAUCAACUCCCAGAGCCAACAAUUCCAUAACUUGGCCUUUUUUAAUUUUAAAUUUGUCUCCAUUAAAACGUUUUUACUAGUUUGGUUGGAAAGCAUUUGUAAUUUGUGUGUGUGUGUGUGUGUUACGUUGACCGAAUUAUACGAAAUGCUCCGGCUCCAAGGCGCUCGCUUUUAUUAUCAUUUAAAAUAUUAUUAUUAUUA